This is a long non-coding RNA of Thunnus maccoyii (southern bluefin tuna), 347 nucleotides long. RefSeq lists it as uncharacterized. NCBI's taxonomy places the organism in Eukaryota, Metazoa, Chordata, Actinopteri, Scombriformes, Scombridae. The record is from RefSeq and is a predicted model, not a curated record. The transcript is spliced from 2 exons.
CACUGUGGGAAGAUCAUCUGGGUCAAUGAGUCAAUCACCUACAAGUGGCAGGAUGCCCACUGCUUUGAUAAAUUGCCUUUCAUCUGCCAAGAUACAACAUAAAGACUGUAUACUGGAGGACUGCUAACUACAAGAGUCAUAUUCAAAUUCUUCCUCCUCUUCUCCAUCUUCUCCCUUUGACAUUGAUUAUAUUUGAAUAGACCUAAGAUUUUUUCAUACUGUUUUUAUACUCAGUAUACCCUUUCCAAUAACUUUUUUUCUCUGUAAUAUGUAGGUACUGUGAGUAAUGUAACGUAAGCAUUUGUUUAUUAUCAUUCAUCCAAUAAAAACUAUAUCGAUUUGAUCAA